CCUACGGGAGGCAGCAGUAGGGAAUCUUCCACAAUGGGCGAAAGCCUGAUGGAGCAACGCCGCGUGGGUGAAGAAGGUCUUCGGAUCGUAAAACCCUGUUGUUAGAGAAGAAAGUGCGUGAGAGUAACUGUUCACGUUUCGACGGUAUCUAACCAGCAAGCCACGGCUAACUACGUGCCAGCAGCCGCGGUCAUACGUAGGUGGCAAGCGUUAUCCGGAUUUUUUGGGCGUAAAGGGAACGCAGGCGGUCUUUUAAGUCUGAUGUGAAAGCCUUCGGCUUAACCGGAGUAGUGCAUUGGAAACUGGGAGACUUGAGUGCAGAAGAGGAGAGUGGAACUCCAUGUGUAGCGGUGAAAUGCGUAGAUAUAUGGAAGAACACCAGUGGCGAAAGCGGCUCUCUGGUCUGUAACUGACGCUGAGGUUCGAAAGCGUGGGUAGCAAACAGGAUUAGAUACCCGAGUAGUC
Molecule: ribosomal RNA, 465 nt
Filed under: uncultured bacterium
Lineage: Bacteria
Description: partial 16S ribosomal RNA
Rfam family: Bacterial small subunit ribosomal RNA
Source: RNAcentral